UCAAUGUUGCAGACAGCAUCACUAGAGCUGC
Molecule: non-coding RNA, 31 nt
Filed under: Rattus norvegicus (Norway rat)
Lineage: Eukaryota; Metazoa; Chordata; Mammalia; Rodentia; Muridae
Source: RNAcentral